This is a long non-coding RNA of Salvia splendens (bonfire salvia), 1654 nucleotides long. RefSeq lists it as uncharacterized. The record is from RefSeq and is a predicted model, not a curated record. The transcript has 4 exons. NCBI's taxonomy places the organism in Eukaryota, Viridiplantae, Streptophyta, Magnoliopsida, Lamiales, Lamiaceae.
AAAUGUCGUAUAUUUUGCACAUACAUUUAGAAUUUCUCUCAAACCUUUCUCUCUCCCCUAUUAUCCAAUUAAUCAUGUUGCUCUCUCAAUCCAGAAACCCUAGGAAGAAAUCUCCAAUUAAUUGGCGCUCUUUCACCAGUUCUCUCUGCCACCAGUUUUCGAUUCCAGCGUCGCCACCGGUUCUUGAUUCCACCAGUUUUCUCCGUCGAUUGCAGCAAUUAACAACCCCUCUCUCAUUCUCAUUGCGUCUUGUGAAGGGUGGCGAUGUCUGCUAUUCAUAGCUCCUCCUCCGACGCUCUUGUGUAUGCAAUUGUUUGCUUUGGACUAUUACAAUGGUUAGGAAAAGGAAGGCAAACGAAGAUCCUGCAGAAGAGGACUGUAGAAAUCGAGUUAUGUUUGUCAUUCAGCACAUUGAGAUCUACCAUACUUUUAAUUGCUUGAAAUUAGGGAAGAAUAAAAACCGUUUAGUGGCAUACCUUUAAUACCCCUUCACGCCUAAUUCCAUAUUUUUUUGUAUAUAUUUAUGAUGCCAUGUGGCAGUUUGUAUAUCAUAGGAUCUCUAUAUCUAGCGGUCAUAAUUAGUGGUAUGUUGUCAUUUGAAUUAGUGUUGUCAUCUUAAUACAACCCUAUAGACAUAUCACUGAAAAAAAAGCACAGAUUAGAAACACAAUUACUAAUGUAGAAUUUUUUUGAAAACCAACCAAAAUUGAAGGUGCAAAAAAAAACACCAAUAAUGUCGAGGACACAAUUGUCCACUAAACCUAAAUCUUUUGUUUCAUAUACGUUUUCAUUUGUGUCCUUUAGUUUUAGUUGAGCACCAACAUUGAAAACACUUUUUAAUAUAUAUAUAUAUAUAUAUAGAGAGAGAGGGGGGUAGUGUUAAUCUCUUUUUCCUCCCUUAGAUUUAAGUUCAUUCUUAAUUGAAACCGUUAGAUUUGAGGGAUGGACGAUCCGGAUGAUAAGCUUACUAAUGAUCCCGUCCUUGCAUUAUUAGGGCCCUUUUGUGCAUUAUAUGGGUAAAUUAGUAAAUGUACAGUACCAAAACCGCCCAAAAUGGAAUGUGCGAAAUUUAAGAGGGAUUUUGCUAUCACCUUCCAUCUACUCCCUCAAUUCAUCACUGCAAAUUGUCUCCCCACAUUCCCAUCACUCUCUAAACCCUAGCCGCCACCUGAAGCAACCGGAAAUCUACAGAGAGACCGCGAUUUUUGGAAGGUUUGCCGUCCAAACAUUAUUCCCGUAGUGCGCGACCAUCUUGUUGAAGGCGACGAAAAGAUACAUUAUGAUAAAGAGAGGCCGACCUUCAAGAUCUCAACCAACGCCGGCUGAAGCAGUGAAGCAGCUUAGAUUGGACAUCGACGAAGCGGUCGAUGAUGUAAUUCCAGUUGGAAUUGCCCAGAAAUUCCGGGAGAGAUUAGCAUAGGCUGGAACAAGUACAACUCAGGAAGAGCUUCCUGAGCAUAGGAAACCAAGGGGGAGGAAGGUCGACCAUCUAUAGAGCUUCAGAUAUGGCCACUAGUGGGGAAGUGUUGAGCAAACUAAAUUGUUGUAUACAAUCAUAACAAAAACAUAUCAGAAAAAAUUAUACAUUAUAGUACAUACAUUGUACAUCACUGAUUAGAUAGAUUACAUUUUACAGUAUUAUUUGUACAUUACA